UACGUAGGGGGCAAGCGUUAUCCGGAUUUACUGGGCGUAAAGGGAGCGUAGACGGUGAAGUAAGUCUGGAGUGAAAACCCAGGGCUCAACCCUGGGACUGCUUUGGAAACUGGUUUGCUAGAGUAUCGGAGAGGUAAGUGGAAUUCCUAGUGUAGCGGUGAAAUGCGUAGAUAUUAGGAGGAACACCAGUGGCGAAGGCGGCUUACUGGACGGUAACUGACGUUGAGGCUCGAAAGCGUGGGGAGCAAACAGG
Molecule: ribosomal RNA, 253 nt
Filed under: uncultured prokaryote
Description: partial 16S ribosomal RNA
Rfam family: Bacterial small subunit ribosomal RNA
Source: RNAcentral